Lentinus tigrinus ALCF2SS1-7 is the source of this 71-nucleotide non-coding RNA. NCBI's taxonomy places the organism in Eukaryota, Fungi, Basidiomycota, Agaricomycetes, Polyporales, Polyporaceae. The record is from the annotation of a GenBank genome assembly.
GGCCGGCUGGCCUAAUGGUUAAGGCGUCAGUUUCCGGUUUGAGAGUCUGGGUUCGAAUCCCAGGUUGGUCG